GCCAUGGCUCAGUGGUAGAGCACCUGCUUUCCAUGCAGAAGGUCCUGGGUUCAAUCCCCAGUAUCUGCA
This is a non-coding RNA of Elgaria multicarinata webbii, 69 nucleotides long. The record is from the annotation of a RefSeq genome assembly. Lineage: Eukaryota; Metazoa; Chordata; Lepidosauria; Squamata; Anguidae.